AUGGGACCCUGCAGCCCUGUAGGUAGCCCCAUGGGUCUGGCUCUGAAAGGAGGAUGGCAAGGCACUGCUGCUGCUGCCUUUAGGGCCUCCAUCCCUGUCCCAUCCCUGGAUGCUGCAGGAACCAGGCUGAUCCAGCUGCAAGGGUGUGGAAAAACCCUUCACACUCUCCUCUGCUGCCCUCAUGUGCAUGCAGGAUCUCCUGCAGCUGCACAUAGCCCUGCACAGAGGGUUCUCCAGCCCAAAGGGCCAAAUCCAGCCAAAACAGGGCCUUGCUGGUGCUCAGGGUCCAGGUCAGGCAGUAGCAUUAGGUCCUGCUGGGACAGCCUCCCGGCUGGGUCUGGAGGGCAAAGCCAUGCGGGCAGCUGGACGGGGGACUGGGCUUCCCACGCUGUGUCCGGGUCACUGCAAGGACAGGGUGGUCUGGGUUCACAGCCCGGGCGAGCGCAGACACGUCACCGAAAUGGCUGUCCGUGGUGGUGGUGGGGGGGGGGGACGGGACGGGACGGGACAGGGCAGCUUUGCCCAAAGCAUCUCCCCAGUCCUUCAGGCUGCAAAGUUUCUUGGUAUUUCAGUGUCAAGGGGGAGCAGGGGCCAGGGGAGGCUCCCAGCCCCCGGCAGCUUCCCCUGCCAUCCCACGGCUCGCGUCCCCCUCCCAGGCACCUGGAAGGGCCCCCACCGCCCCGUGACAUCCCUACACUGAGCCUCGGCUCAGGCAGGGCGAUGGGAGCCCGUCUGCUCCCAGCUGCCUCAGUUUCCCCAGCCCUCGGAGGGGUGGACCCCACCACGGCCACGUCUGAGCAGCCUGGCCCACGGGACGGGGGUGCUGAGCAGGAGGCAGCCAGGGUGCUUCACGCCGGGGAGGGGAAAGCUGCGGUGCAAGCCCGGGCUCAGCCCCUGGGCCGCAUCCUUCCGCCUGGGGCAGGGGGAGGCAGAGCCCUGGCCUYGGGGCUGCUGGUUUUCACAGCCUCCGGCCAAGCUUUCCAGGUUUCCGAGACCUGCUGCAGUCCAGCCUGGGGGCCUGGCCCAGCGCCUCGGUCCCGGGUCUCUCGUGGUUCACCACUUGGUCGGGAAAGAUGGGAAAAAAUUCCCUGUCCCACCCAGUCCCAAAAGAGGGGGGGAGAGCUGCGGCCUCUGCGCCUCUCGCCCUCUGCUGUCCCUGCCGACCCGUGUGGCAUGAGGAGGAUUUGGGGAGCCGGGGGGAGGCACAUGGUCCUGCACCCACUCAUUUUGGGGACAGUUCACAACCUAGAUCACCCUGCCGGAGCCGGGCCCGUGUGUCUGUACGGCGCCUGGCACAUCCCGGCUCAGGGCUCGCCGUAA
This 1320-nucleotide long non-coding RNA is filed under the name Apteryx haastii (Great spotted kiwi). Its description in RNAcentral is "lncRNA (ENSAHAG00000001680.1)". Lineage: Eukaryota; Metazoa; Chordata; Aves; Apterygiformes; Apterygidae. The record is from RNAcentral.